UGUCAGUGAUAGAGGAGGUGUGUCACUGGGGACAGGCCUUGGGAUUGACAGCCCAGCCUCCCUUGCUAACUCACCUUUUCUUCUUGCCUGCUGAU
RNAcentral lists this microRNA precursor (95 nucleotides) under Jaculus jaculus (lesser Egyptian jerboa). RNAcentral's name for it is "miRNA (ENSJJAG00000000964.1)". The record is from RNAcentral. Lineage: Eukaryota; Metazoa; Chordata; Mammalia; Rodentia; Dipodidae.